Molecule: non-coding RNA, 91 nt
Filed under: Streptomyces collinus Tu 365
Lineage: Bacteria; Bacillati; Actinomycetota; Actinomycetes; Kitasatosporales; Streptomycetaceae
Description: Streptomyces RNA 3202
Rfam family: Streptomyces RNA 3202
About the family: Identified by deep sequencing of transcriptome at the end of exponential growth phase. Appears smaller on northern blot than sequencing transcript.
Source: Rfam by way of RNAcentral
CCACGUCCUGACGCGACCCCCCCAGCGCCGGGACGUUCCCGAGCCGGGCUCGGCGCCCCACCCCCCCCUGGGCGCCGGGUCCGGCUUCUUC